AAGUAACCUUCCCAACACUGGCUAUGCAUUCUUUCUGAUGUGAAUCCAAAACGGAAGUACUAUGAUAACAUGUCUGUAUUCCCGUCAGGUCACUGGCUCAAAAACCUGUUUUAUUUUUAGCAAUCCAGGUAUGUGAUAUGUUCAUACAUGUACUGUCUGGCAUGAUCCUUAUCAUUUCUGGCAUUAACUACUUACAUAAGCACAAUAUUUUUUUUAGUACAACAAAAGCCCUGUAGGAGCCAUUUUGGGUUAAUACCUUAUGUGGCCGCUAGAGGUCACCUUUUUCUCUUUUGUUCAUGUAAAGGUAUUUAAGGUAGACGCACAUAAUCAGCGUCAGGUGUGUCGUUAAUUGUACGAAGGCAAACAGUUUGUGACCGCUGCGCUGUUAUGUCAAGAUGGUAUUGGAAUAAAGAACAAAAAGGACAAGAUAAGUACAGCUGGAUUUCUUGGACUGUUUACUUAAUUCAUACAUACCAGUGACAUCGCGUCACCCCCGUUAACGACCACCUCAGUGGCUUCAAGCGUAGGCUUAGCCUCUACAAGCCCCAUGUGAUCCGUCCAUGAGAGAAAUAUGUGGACUUCUGCCCAUUCAUGCUUUAGAAAUGGUUUCUAUCAUAAGAAAACACUGCAGGAAGUUACGUGAAUCACUUGUAAAAAGGCAAUACAAAUACAAAAAGUAUUAUAUGUUUUACCUCUCAAUAUGUUGCAACUGAAAAUACAUUUAUUUAGGAACUUUUGAGGCUGUUUGUUGACGGUUUAACGAUUUGGUAACAUUUUCAUUUAUCUUCCGUCACUCAGUUACAUUUAGCAAGAGCAGCCAGAUGCCUACCUCCAUGCGAAAGACAAGACAGCUUAUUGUGUCUUCUAGUGAUCACAUGCGUGAUUUGGAAGAAAUGGCAAAACUGACUAAAUUUUCACUGAUCUUUGUCCUAACUGUUCACAUCAAUCAAGCUGUAGCUUCACCUUAAUUGAUGUGAACAGUUGAUUGAUCUAAUCUAAUCUACCAGGAUGUUAAAGGAGGGAAGUAAAAUAUUCUUUAUGCAAAACAUGAGUCAAGUGUUAACUACUGGGGUUAAAAAAUAAAAGUAAAGACUAAAGUCCCUCUACAGCUACCUUCUGAAGCAUUUUAAUGUAAUUAUCUUACAAAUAACAUGGUUUGCAGUGAGGAACAACCAAGUAGUCUAUGCUUCAAUUUUUACUUGUGUAAUUGGCUCCACAAGCACUGACAGCAGCCUAUUCUUUCAUUUUCAUUACUUACACUAAAUCAACUCUUUUAAUGCAACCGGGCCCUCUCCUACCUUCUCUGUCAUGCACAUUGUUGAACAGUUGAGUUUAAUGUGGAAGACGUGGCUGAUGAUGAUGGACAAAUAAAAGUGAAAAGGUGGCACUGAAAAACUAAGACAGAAAAAUAAAAAACAAUCUAUAAACAGUUGCAGCAAAAUGUGUCAAAGUAAACGACGUUAGCCGCUGUACCAGCAACUGCUAGUAGUGAGCCUUCACAGUCAUACGGUAGUACCAGCUGUGGAGAAGUGCAGGAUGAGGGACAGCAGUCCCAACAUAGAGAGUGAGGAAAAGAUGGAGAAAGAUAAUUAACAUAGUAAGAAAAUAGAUGGAGAGACAUUCAAGUAAAAUUAAUUGCUAUUUUGACCAUGAGCCACUGCUAACAGCUAAAUUGAAACAUGCUGCACGGAAGUGCAACUAAGAUGUCCCUAGCCAACAACAACUGUACCAACCUGAUUAAAAAGGAAACAGUUUGUGUAAAAAUGAUUAAACAAAUCUAAAUAUAUGCAUAACAUGUGUAUGCAUAUGAUAUUCUAUAUAUAAAAUUCAAUCUGUUUAGGUGUCCAGGGUUUAGGUGUGAUUUUUGGUCCCAGUCCAACAACACAUCAUAUGCAGAAGUAUUAGCAACUUUCCCAUGUUGUCAUAACACUCGCUGCACACUCCACCAGAGAAUGUUACUCGAGCAGUGUGCAAACACGCCUUACUACAGUCUUAGAGUCUCAUCAAACUCAGGCGAGAUAAGUGAAAACCUCUGCAUGGAUUAUUUCUUUAACAUUUUGUGUACAGAAUAAGAUGUUGUACUGUUUGAGCCUGCUAAUUUCUUUUCGAGUGUGCUGUGUUACAUCCUGGAAUCAUGCCAUCAUUGUUAGAGUGUGUGUUUAGUCCAACAUACUUUCAAUCAUUCACAAUAUGAGUUUGGAGAAUGAGAGAUAACCAGUCUGACAGGCUGGCAGUUUGGGAGGCGAGGAGAUGGGAAUUUAGUAAAGGGAAGGGAAAAAGCUAGUGACAAUUUCCCUGAUUCACUGCAAGCAAAUUAAAAAAAGAAAAAGAAAUCGCUUUAGCACUAUAACUACAAGGUGUGUCAUAAAAGUCACAUAAAAGAUAAACAUUAAAAAACUGGGGAAAAAAAUUGAAAAACAAAACAAAUAAGACCCGGCCAUUUGAAAGUUAGGGGGACUUUUCUGUGUUAUUGAAGCUAAAAAACAAAUGAAUGCCCCUUCAGUGAACUUGCAAGAGUUGAUUUUCUGAUCGUGACCAUGUACAGACCAUGCAGUUAUUUAAUAAAAUCUCAACGUCGUUGCACGGCAAAGACUGCAGUAAACUGUUUGUGAGUAGUCUUGCUACUGUUUGCACCAGCUUCAGAAAAACAUGCUGAAUUGUUUCAUCAGGAAAUAAUAAUGUGCAGUAGUCUAAAGAAAAAAAUAUGCUGUGUAUAAGCUGUUUUACUAUGUUCUCCUGAGCAAUCAUUAGACAUGGUUUUGGUGUUGAUUUUAAGACUGCCAAGAGUAACAGCGUGCUUGCCACUUCUUCAUGUUAGAAAGGCAGAAAUGCAAAGAAUGCAGACUUUCAAGAUUUUCAGAAAUAAUCAUACAGGUGUACUGUAAGCCUGGUCAAAUGACUUCAUGAAAUAAAGACUUGUUUAGAUUUGUUUUUGCGCCUUCAAACCACUUGGGAUUUUCUCUCAAAAAUUACAGUUAUGAAAUACCAGGAUGAAAAGCUACUGAGCUAAACUUCAAAAUCCCAACUGAUAGGCUAUGUUAUUUGGUCAGAUGUCAUAUUGGAAUGAUCAGUAGAAAUACAAAACAACUAAAUAAUGGGCCCAGAGGCUCAUUGCUUCAUGAUAUAUACUUCAUUUCCCAUUCAUGUUUAACAGAACACCCACAUGUACAAAACCACUGAACUGCCAAUCAUUUAUUUCUGUGUUGUUCAUGCAGUCUGUUUGUAUUCUGAUUAAGUAACUUCAGGUGACACAAUUAAUACAUAAUUAAAGAAUAAAGAAAUGUUUCAGGUGAUACAUAUUGUUUAACAAAGGCAACAAAAAUAAUAAUAAUAAAAAGUUUAGCAUUCUUUUCCUCUCUGUUAAUCUUGUCAUAAUUUUGCAGCACUGUCUUGCUUUUCCACCCUGCCUGUGGCCACACCACAUAAGAAGAAAAUGUUAUGCGAAUUCAGAUCUAACUGCAGUUAGGGGUCUGCUAAAGCAUGCUACCUUACCGGAGAAUGUCUUUUUAUGCAGUUAUUCAAGACAAAAUUGUUCAGUUAGGAAAAUCUGAUUAGUGCAGUCCAAAUCGUGUGCAUACGUAUGUCACGGUCCAUUUUGUGUUUCUCUAUGAGUUACCUUUUUUUUGAGGAUCUCUUGUGUCCUAGUUUAGUUUUUUUUGUAAAUUAGCAUGGUUGAUGGCUUUCUUUGCAUUUAUUAUAUCCUCUGUUUGUAGUUUCUGUUUAUACUAAAGUUCAUCUUCUUGGUUCUGUAUUUUUAAUUAUAUCCUUUUUUUAAUUCCAUUCUGUUCUUUCUAUCUUGUCUUGCCUGUUUCUCUUCUGUCUCUCAGGUUCUCGGGUUCGCAUGUCUUAGUCUGGUUCUCAGUGUGUGUGUUAGUUUGUUUUAUUUAGAUAAUCUUGUGUGCUUCAUAUUGAGUUUUAUGUCUCCAGUAACGUUAUUCCUGAUUUUUUACAGCUGAUUUUCCCGGUGUUUCACGUUACCUGGUGUGUAUCUAUUAGCUCGCUCUUCUCUCAUCCAUCUGUUUAGUGUCCAUGUUCAUAUCUAUGCCUCUUGUGAUUCCUAGUUUUGAUUAUUUAGCGCCAGCUCAUCUGACGUCCUUGUUUUGUGUUUGCUUUGAGAGUUUCUUAAUAAAUCUACCCAUUGAUUUUACAUUCCGUCUCCUGAAUCCCACAUGGGGGUCCUUUUCCUGUUUUCCACGCUUCUGAAACAAACCAACAUAUGUAUAUAGAGUACAUAUUAUAUAAAUGAUCAAAACGUCCCUGUAGGAGGAAGUUGAGAGCAAGAAAUCCUCCACGGUCCAGAAAUGUGUGCGGAACCAACUGCACCGCUUUUACUGAUGACGACAUAACUGAUGACAUCGAUUGUUUUCUCAAGACUCGUUACUUUUGGUUUGUCUUUAGGGACGUCUCACAUUCAUGUCGUCACCAAAAGAAUUACUUCCAAGAAUGUAACUAAGUUGCUACCACAGGAUCAUUUGCUUUCACCUCCAGCGAGCUUGAAUCUUGUAUCUGCACGGUCUCUUGUCAACUCAAAAUUAUGAAGAACUGUUUUCUUUUUCAUUUAAAUGAUAUUAUUUUAGUUGUUUUAUUUCAGUUCAUUUGGAGCUGUAUUUUCAGACAGAAUGGCUAGACCCUGAGGGUAGCCUGGGUAGGUCUCUCUUGAUUUAAACAGUUUGAUGAUAAUAUAUACGCCUUAAUUAGUGAUGAUAUACUAAGCAAUCUGCUUUCCUAUGAUUCCUUUUAUUUUAUUAUAUCAAAUAAGAUGAGCAGCAAUAAAGGAAACAAAACCCAUUCAGUGCAUAGGACACGGAAACAAGAUCACUGGACUCGUCUCUUCUCUGUUUGAGCAACAGUGAACUAGUGGCAAGUCUGACAUCUGCAGUCCAGAGGAGGUCGCUCUUUCUGUCCUAGUCAGGACAGGCCAGUCUGCUUUUACAUCAAACUACAAUGGAAAAAACCCCCAAACAAUAAACACUAUAUACAGCAUAUAAGGCAAAACUGGGGCUUGUACAAUUCCAACCAACUUGAAAGUCAAUAUUUGGUAUGGCUGCUUUUAUUCAACACAUCCUGAAUUCUCUUAGGUAAGCUUUGUUGUAAAUUUUAAUUUCUCGUUUUCACACCUGUGGGUUAGCCAUCUCACAAUAGAAAUGGGUGCUUCAGAGAGCUGUGGUGCUUACCUAAUCCAGUUUAAUACAUUUCUGUUUAUUGAGUCUUUCAUUUAUUAAUUUGUGAGUUUGCUUACAGUUUACCUGUAUUUUUUCGUUUGUUUUUCCACUUUCUGGAAUAAUAGUGAGUAUUUAAACAUGCUCCAAGCUUCAGGAAUCAAUGAAAUCUACUGAGUGUAAAAUUCAGUCACAGCAACCCAGUUUACAUGAGCUACACAUACCCUUAUUACACUGAAUCCCAUCUCACCUUCCUCAUUAAAUGUUCGUUCCCUCUUCUGUCCUAUAUGUUUGGUAGUGAAAGGGUUUGCAGGGCUGCUCAGAGGCUGGAGCAGACAAACAGUGACUCAGCUAAAAGGGCUGCCUACAGCCAUUGUUGACUACAGAGGGGUACACCAGGGAACUGGUCCUGCCUCAAGAGGUUUGCUGCACAUGUGCAAUGCAGGACCGCAAGAGUCUCCCCAUCACAGACGGCUACUAGAAGUCCUGACUCAUGCAGCCAAAUUGCUGUCUCUUCAGAGACAUGUUGCCCUGGUACCUAACGGUCACCAGGUGCCACUGUUUACUUAGUGGAUGCACAGGGCUGUUGGGAGCUGAUGGAGGUCUUCUUCCUGUGUGUGUGUGUGUGUGUGUGUGUGUGUGUGUGUGUGUGUGUGUGUUAGACUCCAGUGUUGUUCCACGGCUCUCUUAUUUUACACAUUGAGAUGUGUAAUGUGCACAAAACUGUCUGACUUCACACAAAUGAAAUGAGUGCUGCUUUGUAGUUGUUCCCUUGCUCUCAGCUCCAGUUAAGAGCAUCUGUAUGAUCCAAGAGACAUACCUGCAUGUUUCUUCCAACCUCUGUGUGUUUGUACCUGUAGAUUAGCUCAGUGGGUGGGCAGCAUGAGACAGUUUUACACUGACACUUACUUUGCUUAACUUUUAAGUUGCUGGGACAGACACCUGUUUGGGUACGUCACACCCACCUUUGCCCAUAGCUUGAAACUUAGCCAACAACUAUUAAGUUUUGCCAUCUUCAGGGUAAAUUGGAAUUCAUUAAAUAUAAUCUGAUUUUGUUCUAAUAAAAACAGCAGAAAAAUGUAAUUAAUUCUCAGCUCA
This is a long non-coding RNA of Oreochromis niloticus (Nile tilapia), 6257 nucleotides long. RefSeq lists it as uncharacterized. The transcript has 3 exons. The record is from RefSeq and is a predicted model, not a curated record. NCBI's taxonomy places the organism in Eukaryota, Metazoa, Chordata, Actinopteri, Cichliformes, Cichlidae.